Gallus gallus (chicken) is the source of this 1413-nucleotide long non-coding RNA. Lineage: Eukaryota; Metazoa; Chordata; Aves; Galliformes; Phasianidae. The record is from Ensembl.
AGGUCCUGGAGAAUGGCAUCCUACCUUAAGAAAUCCCAGAAAGAAAUAAACAGCAGUGUAGUUCCACUGUUAUCACUGCCUCCAUCGAGCUGCGCAGAGAUCCUACAGUGCCCACCCAACCACUGUGCUCGUGGAGCAGCUCAGCUGGAACCAAGGCCUGCACCUUUGGGAGACUCAUGCCAAUUGGUAAUUGACAUGAUGAGAUACGUCACAGCUUCUUUGUGAAAUCAAAGUGGUGCCAGUGGAUUGUUGGUGCUGGUGAGGACCAGGGUGCCCUCCAGAGUCCAUUUUCUUCCUCAUUGGUACCCGGAGCUAAAAGUAGGGCUGCUGGAAGCUGCUGUCCUUCCUUAUGUGUCCAGCCAUCAGUUCAGACUGCGACCUACAUUCUCUGAAGUUAUUUAUAAUGCUGCUAAUACCUCUGAAGCACAGUAUUAGCAUGCCUCUUUAAAGAGAAUUCUGUAAGAUUUAGCAUUAAUACAGAGUUUUUUUCUUUCUUUAAUGGUCCCUUACUGUGCCCAGCAAAGCUCUCUCCAAUGGCCACGGGCAACCUUGGGAAGCUUUAGCAAUGCCUUAAUUCCUCCUUGUUUUGCUCUGGAGCUGCUUCCAUGCAACUCUGGUGCCUGGGUGCCCACGAUGCGUGUCCCCCUCUGCAUCCAGCAGAUGAAUCCUGGCACAAGCCCUCCUCUGCUGCAGCACCCACAUCAGGAUGAGCUGUUCCUCAACUCCAAACUCUGCACAGUCCCCAAAUCCUAUCCCAGAGGAGGCAGGGAGGGAGGUAUCAGCUCCACCACAGCUGAUUUCCCUGUGCGGAGGCAAUUCUAUGAGUUCGUGUGGAACUGUCAUACCAUGGCAACCUUAUACCAAUAACUACCAGCAAAAGGAUAUUUGAAACAAAUGGAAAUCUGUCCAGCUAUUUAAGCUCAGGAAAAGUUCAGAUAUUACUAAGAACAUUAUACAAUACUUUAUUUCAUCUAAGGGUUAGUUUUCUAGAAAACGCAGGCAGACAAGCCAGGGAGAAAGUCCUGUGCUUUAGCUGGGAGUUAGAUGAGGUGACCUAAUAGGUCUUUUCUAUUUCUCACCCUUAAGCUGCAGACUAUUUUUUCCAAUGCUGGUGAUCAGUGGGGUGUAUCUUUGUGUGCUGAACAGAGACCAGCUAUGUAGCCUCUUUUUCCUUGCCCUGACAUGUACUUUGUCUUUGUAUGAAAAACAGACUUUAAAAAUUCAUGGUUAAUAAGGGACCUUGGAUUACUUAUACACAGUCUAAUCAAGUUGUGUAAGUACAAAACGCAUGCUUAGACACAGUCUCUCCUAAGCAAGGGCAUGACUUGCCACUUUUAAUGCACACUAUCUUUGGCUGUUGAGCCUCUGAGUCUUGACUUGUGUUUAAUCUUUCAAUUAAAUUCCCUUCAGACG